UACGUAGGGCGCAAGCGUUGUCCGGAAUUAUUGGGCGUAAAGAGCUCGUAGGCGGUUUGUCGCGUCUGCUGUGAAAACCUCAGGCUCAACCUGGGGCUUGCAGUGGGUACGGGCAGACUAGAGUGCGGUAGGGGUGACUGGAAUUCCUGGUGUAGCGGUGGAAUGCGCAGAUAUCAGGAGGAACACCGGUGGCGAAGGCGGGUCUCUGGGCAGUAACUGACGCUGGAGGAGCGAAAGCGUGGGGAGCGAACAGG
RNAcentral lists this ribosomal RNA (254 nucleotides) under uncultured bacterium. RNAcentral describes it as "partial 16S ribosomal RNA". It matches the Rfam family "Bacterial small subunit ribosomal RNA", at positions 524 to 776 of the family's 1533-position model. The record is from RNAcentral.